RNAcentral lists this transfer RNA (71 nucleotides) under Loxodonta africana (African savanna elephant). It matches the Rfam family "tRNA". Rfam says of the family: Transfer RNA (tRNA) molecules are approximately 80 nucleotides in length. Their secondary structure includes four short double-helical elements and three loops (D, anti-codon, and T loops). Lineage: Eukaryota; Metazoa; Chordata; Mammalia; Proboscidea; Elephantidae. The record is from Rfam by way of RNAcentral.
GCCGUGGUGGUUCAGUGGUAGAAUUCUCGCCUUCCAUGCAGGAGACCUGGGUUUGAUUCCUGGCCAAUGCA